GGGCCCAUGGUCUAGUGGCUAUGACAUCGCCCUUACAAGGCGAGGGUCGCCGGUUCGAAUCCGGCUGGGCCCA
This 73-nucleotide transfer RNA is filed under the name Methanotorris formicicus Mc-S-70. Its description in RNAcentral is "tRNA-Val". It matches the Rfam family "tRNA". Rfam says of the family: Transfer RNA (tRNA) molecules are approximately 80 nucleotides in length. Their secondary structure includes four short double-helical elements and three loops (D, anti-codon, and T loops). Lineage: Archaea; Methanobacteriati; Methanobacteriota; Methanococci; Methanococcales; Methanocaldococcaceae. The record is from RNAcentral.